This is a long non-coding RNA of Agrilus planipennis (emerald ash borer), 817 nucleotides long. RefSeq lists it as uncharacterized. The transcript has 3 exons. The record is from RefSeq and is a predicted model, not a curated record. NCBI's taxonomy places the organism in Eukaryota, Metazoa, Arthropoda, Insecta, Coleoptera, Buprestidae.
UAAUUAUUAAUUUUUUAUUUUUAGGUACGCGAUUUGAGCAUCGCCUUCGGCUUGGUCACUUUCACGUAUCUUUUUCUGGGAAUUGCGUUCUAUAUAACGUUUCCCUUGGCAAAAUCCUGCAUCCAGGAUAAUAUCCUCGACAAUUUUAACAAGCGCGACACAUUGACUAUAAUCGCUCGAUUGUUAUUAUUGUUUCAAUUGGUAACUGUCUUUCCACUUAUCUCUUUCAUGUUGCGUAACGAUAUUUUCACAAACGUCGACCUGUUUUUCAAAAAUUAUAGUCCAGGACACUUCUCCUACGUCAAAGUUGUUAUUCUUAAUCUAGGGAUAAUCGCAGUGUGUAUUUUAUUCGCUUGUUUCUUGCCAAAGAUUGGAACAUUAAUCAGAUAUACCGGUGCUUUAAGUGGGAUGGUAUAUAUUUUUCUUUUGCCAAGCCUUCUUAAAAUUGCUUCUCUUAGGAAAGAGGGACAACUGACUGUGUUUAAACUAGUAUUUCAACUGUGUAUAAUCGGUCUAGGUGUACUUAAUUUAAUUUCGCAAUUUUUUAUUGCCGAUUGAAAAUAAAAAGAUGACAGAUAUUGAUUAGAGAUAUGUACGUACAGGUAUAUGCAGAAAAUAGUACUAAAUAGACUUAUGGUUAAUUAUAUGUGUUCAACACAUGCCCAAUACUACAAAAAAAAACAAUUGUGUGUAAAUAAUUUUUGGGACAGUAACUGGUUUUACUUUCUCAAAACAGCAGUGACUAUUUUUUGUUUUUCUGAUGAAAUGUAUUUGUUAUUAUUAUUAUUCUUAUUUUAAAUGUGUGUAUUUAUUCGUU